GAGUUUGAUCCUGGCUCAGGACGAACGCUGGCGGCGUGCCUAAUGCAUGCAAGUCGAACGCAGCAGGUUAGCCCUGGCUGCGUGGCGAACGGCUGAGGAACACGUGGGUAACCUGCCCCGGAGUGGGGGAUACCCCGUCGAAAGACGGGACAAUCCCGCAUACGCUCUUUGGAGGAAAGCCAGACGGCGCUCUGGGAGGGGCCUGCGGCCCAUCAGGUAGUUGGUGUGGUAACGGCGCACCAAGCCAAUGACGGGUACCCGGUCUGAGAGGACGACCGGGCAGACUGGGACUGCGACACGGCCCAGACUCCUACGGGAGGCAGCAGCAAGGAAUUUUCCCCAAUGGGCGCAAGCCUGAGGGAGCAACGCCGCGUGGAGGACGACGGCCUUCGGGUUGUAAACUCCUUUCGGGUGGGACGAACCUGACGGUACCACCAGAAGAAGCCCCGGCUAACUCUGUGCCAGCAGCCGCGGUAAGACAGAGGGGGCAAGCGUUGUCCGGAGUUACUGGGCGUAAAGGGCGCGCAGGCGGUGGGCUGCGUCGGCGCUGAAAGCGCCCCGCUUAACGGGGCGAGGUGCGCCGAUACGAGCCCACUCGAGGCAAGCAGAGGGUGGCGGAAUUCCGGGUGGAGCGGUGAAAUGCGUAGAGAUCCGGAGGAACGCCAGUGGGGGAAGCCGGCCACCUGGGCUUGACCUGACGCUGCGGCGCGACAGCGUGGGGAGCAAACCGGGAUG
Molecule: ribosomal RNA, 735 nt
Filed under: uncultured bacterium
Lineage: Bacteria
Description: bacterial SSU rRNA
Rfam family: Bacterial small subunit ribosomal RNA
Source: RNAcentral